CCUAGUACGGCGAGUGAAGCGGCAACAGCUCAAAUUUGAAAUCUGGCGUCUUUGGCGUCCGAGUUGUAAUUUGCAGAGGGCGCUUUGGCAUUGGCAGCGGUCCAAGUUCCUUGGAACAGGACGUCACAGAGGGUGAGAAUCCCGUACGUGGUCGCUAGCCUUUACCGUGUAAAGCCCCUUCGACGAGUCGAGUUGUUUGGGAAUGCAGCUCUAAAUGGGAGGUAAAUUUCUUCUAAAGCUAAAUACUGGCCAGAGACCGAUAGCGCACAAGUAGAGUGAUCGAAAGAUGAAAAGCACUUUGGAAAGAGAGUUAAAAAGCACGUGAAAUUGUUGAAAGGGAAGCGCUUGCAGCCAGACUUGCCUGUAGUUGCUCAUCCGGGUUUUUACCCGGUGCACUCUUCUACGGGCAGGCCAGCAUCAGUUUGGGCGGUUGGAUAAAGGUCUCUGUCAUGUACCUCCUCUCGGGGAGAACUUAUAGGGGAGACGACAUGCAACCAGCCCGGACUGAGGUCCGCGCAUCUGCUAGGAUGCUGGCGUAAUGGCUGUAAGCGGCCCGUCUUAAA
RNAcentral lists this ribosomal RNA (563 nucleotides) under Epicoccum sorghinum. RNAcentral describes it as "partial large subunit ribosomal RNA". It matches the Rfam family "Eukaryotic large subunit ribosomal RNA", at positions 79 to 658 of the family's 3401-position model. Lineage: Eukaryota; Fungi; Ascomycota; Dothideomycetes; Pleosporales; Didymellaceae. The record is from RNAcentral.